UUCAUUUUUCUUAUUAUUUUUUCCAUUAUUCAUUAUCCAUUUUUCUUCUUCUUUAUUUUUCACCAGCAUUCAUAAACAGACUGUAUGUGAGUAUAUCCAUGCAUUUUACUAUAUUCUAGGAUAAUAUUAUAAUCUUUUAAUCUCUCUGUUAUCCAUGUGCAAUAAGUGAAAAAUCUCUUGAAAUAUGAGUAGAAUGCCUGUCUUUUAUAAUUAUAUAAGUCAUUAGACCAUGCUAGCACUCAUACAGGACUAAAAAUUGGUUUCCUGUAGACUUUAGUUGUAUACUGAUCUUGCUCUAUAUCUAAGUACAUAUCCAAGAAAUGUAUGCUAUUUUUAUUUCUUUGCUUUAACUUUAGUAUUAGCUCUAUGUUUCCAUCUACGAAUAUCUCUUUUAACUCCUCUGUCUUGUCCUCUCCAUCCUGUAAGAUAUAUGCAUCAUCUAUGUACAGUCUAUUUAAUAAAGGUGUAGACAUCGUCAGUAGGAGCAGCAAGACAGGAAGUAGAUCACUUACAAUGUCUGGAAAUUCACAGCAUGGUUGCCUGUAAUGAAAUCAACUGUUCUUGUUGCCUUAUAAGUAGGGGUAUAGUAGAUUGCGUAGAGGGGGAGAAUUUUGAUGACGUAGGUGACGUGAUUUCCUGAUACAUUUG
RNAcentral lists this long non-coding RNA (648 nucleotides) under Androctonus crassicauda. The record is from RNAcentral. Lineage: Eukaryota; Metazoa; Arthropoda; Arachnida; Scorpiones; Buthidae.